UGGCGGCAUGCCUUACACAUGCAAGUCGAACGGCAGCAUGGAAGAGCUUGCUCUUCUGAUGGCGAGUGGCGAACGGGUGAGUAAAGCAGUCGGAACGUACCGUGUAAUGGGGAUAACGUAGCGAAAGUUACGCUAAUACCGCAUACGACCUGAGGGUGAAAGCAGGGGAUCGCAAGACCUUGCGUUAUACGAGCGGCCGAUGUCAGAUUAGCUAGUUGGUAGGGUAAAGGCCUACCAAGGCGACGAUCUGUAGCGGGUCUGAGAGGAUGAUCAGUCACACUGGAACUGAGACACGGUCCAGACUCCUACGGGAGGCAGCAGUGGGGAAUAUUGGACAAUGGGCGAAAGCCUGAUCCAGCCAUGCCGCGUGUGUGAAGAAGGUCUUCGGAUUGUAAAGCACUUUAAGUUGGGAGGAAGGGCAGUAAGCUAAUACCUUGCUGUUUUGACGUUACCGACAGAAUAAGCACCGGCUAACUCUGUG
This 481-nucleotide ribosomal RNA is filed under the name uncultured bacterium. RNAcentral describes it as "bacterial SSU rRNA". It matches the Rfam family "Bacterial small subunit ribosomal RNA", at positions 37 to 507 of the family's 1533-position model. The record is from RNAcentral.